Long non-coding RNA from Hirundo rustica (Barn swallow), 1490 nucleotides. RefSeq lists it as uncharacterized. The transcript is spliced from 3 exons. The record is from RefSeq and is a predicted model, not a curated record. Lineage: Eukaryota; Metazoa; Chordata; Aves; Passeriformes; Hirundinidae.
ACCUUUGUUAUAUUUUUGAGACGGAAAGGAAAAAAAAAUACACUGUCUGCUGUUACUGGCUUCAGUCCAGUGUAUGACAGAUCAAAAGUGAUCUGAACAGAUUUUCAAGUGCACAACAGAUCAAAAACACAAGGGAGUGGAUAGGCACAAUGAGAAAGUAGAAUAUUGGGUGCAAUGUCUGCAAAACUGUUUUCAUCGUAUGCUCCAGAUUCCUUGAGCAUGUGUAUCAGUCACCUUUAUGUAUGCACACACCAUUUGUGUACACAGUUCUCUGGUUUUGGUUAUCUUAGACCGGGAGUGGAUGGCACUCAGGAGUCGAACAUGGCAUGCCUGUGCUGCUUAAACAACCAUGGCAUGGCUUUUCUCUUUGACACCGAUGGAAAGCACCAUCUUUUCAUAAAAACACAACCCUGGUUUCUUUUAUUUCCAAACAAAACCUUCUCAGCGCUGUGGAUUUUACAGUUGAGGUGCUGUUGAGAGACGAGAGACCCAUUACUUUCAUCAAGAUCACAGCUUCCUCUGAAGACCAACGCAAAGUUGCUCCUUUAGCUCAAAGAGAUUUCUUACCACUCCUCUUGAAAAGAUGUCUCUGUUUCCCCCUCCAGCUUCUGUUUUAUUGCUGAAGGAUGUUCCAUGCCUUUCCCACAUCCUGUGACACAGCAAAAGUAGCAGAGAAAAGAAGGCUUGAUUGUCAACGUUGCUCAAGAGCGACCUGGAGCUCCAGCAGGAGCGGCGUUCUCCAGGCGGCUCUCCACGUCUUCCCUGACACACCAGUGAGCCGCGAGACCCAGGCAGAAAUUCCAGUGUGGGGAGGGUGUGAGUCAUGAGAUGACAUUGUCCAUUGGGAAGACAGUGCUGCAGAGUCUGGAACCAAACCAGCCUAUUCCUUGUUCUCAAGCCAUCUUGGGUUGAAAGCUGCUGAAAACCUUCGUUCUGGAUUAAUAACUGUGAUGUCCCUGUCAUCCCCAGGACUGGAUUUCUUCACUGGGAUUGCUGAAACACUGGUCUGCUCCGAGGUUCUUCUCAGAGAGGAAUUGCUCAGCUCCACAACAAGAAUGAGAAAAGUUUAAAUGCUUUGGGAGUCAUUCCCAGGCACAAGAUUUUAUUAUUUGAGCUUUUGUUUGGAAAUAAAUUGAGUUCUUGUCAUAGAUUGGGUAUCUUCUCCCUUGGUUCUUACAUAUCAAACUUUCUCAUCAUUCUGGAAGGAGAUUCAAGUGUUUGUUCUCUUUCUUUUAUUGGCACUCAUCUUUGUUAAUUUAUUUUGUAUCUUGAGAUAUGCUGCAUCUCUGGAGUUUGUAUUUCUACUUUUAGCAUAAAAAUGCUGUACAUACGAGUCUAGAAUGCAUCUGAAGGUUAGUCUAAUUUUUCAUGUGACUUUGACUUGAACUUUUUUUUCUGUUUAUGUUUAUAUUGCUAUUUCAAAUAUGUGCAUUACCUGUAUUCUUUAUGCCUUUUCCCCAUCUAUAACUCAAUAAAAUAAUGUCCCCGUU